CUCCCAAGUGUCAUCAGUUAA
Molecule: unclassified non-coding RNA, 21 nt
Filed under: Mus musculus (house mouse)
Lineage: Eukaryota; Metazoa; Chordata; Mammalia; Rodentia; Muridae
Description: oocyte_clustered_small_RNA8216
Source: RNAcentral